AGGGGUCGGAUGAAAUCAUUAUAAUUUCUGAUGGUGAUGACUCAAUUGGAACAACUUCUACCACGAGAUCCUCAUCCUCAACAUGUUCAAGCUCAGACUCGGAUGAAUCUAUCAUAACAACUUCUACAGGUUCGACCUCCGGUGAGUCUGGGGUCAUAUGAUUAGCCAUUAUCAAAUUUGGAUCAGUUUCAUCAGAAGUGUAUCCCCA
This 208-nucleotide microRNA precursor is filed under the name Asparagus officinalis (garden asparagus). RNAcentral's name for it is "miR12175 stem-loop (aof-MIR12175)". The record is from miRBase by way of RNAcentral. Lineage: Eukaryota; Viridiplantae; Streptophyta; Magnoliopsida; Asparagales; Asparagaceae.